AGAGAGAUGUCUACCUGGGAGCAGCUUCUUGGGUUAAAUCACAGAACACAGACACCAGUGAAGACAGUGCUGUGGCUUGGAGGAUUUUGUCUAAUUCACAAAGGAAAGACGAGGUGACUUUGCUGGCCCAAGAACCAGGAGUUUCGUGAACAUUUGCCUUCUUCACCUGUUCUGAGGCAGCAGCCUGAGCAGCGCCCUGCACCGACUGUUGCUUGAGCUCCUGCAUUUUCAGACACAGCUCCUGCUGGUUUUCCCAGAGAUGGUGAUGUCCUCAGGCUGUUGAUAUCCCUUAGGAGGUAGAAGAGUGACUACAGACCCCAGAGGGCUGCAAAGAUGUGGGGGAGGGGCACUGUUUGCCUCCCCGUGGUGAGUUUCAGGAGUUUGCUAAACCUGCGCAUGGUGAAGGUCGUAUCAGAUAAUGGGAACACCUGGAGUUUGAGGUCUUGUUCCUCCUCAAGGAGACAUUUCUCUGAGAAGGCUAUAGGUACCAGGAAGUUAGGGAGUCACCCAAGCCUCCAGGGUCUCACUGUGAAAUGAAGGCCACUAGUGACCUUUCUCCUUUGAGUUU
Molecule: long non-coding RNA, 568 nt
Organism: Mus musculus (house mouse)
Lineage: Eukaryota; Metazoa; Chordata; Mammalia; Rodentia; Muridae
Product: predicted gene, 30288
Exons: 3
Source: RefSeq, a predicted model, not a curated record